GACGAACGCUGGCGGCGUGCUUAACACAUGCAAGUCGAGCGGUAAGGCCCUUCGGGGUACACGAGUGGCGAACGGGUGAGUAACACGUGGGUGAUCUGCCCUGCACUUCGGGAUAAGCCUGGGAAACUGGGUCUAAUACCGGAUAGGACCACUGCCUGCAUGGGUGGUGGUGGAAAGCUUUUGCGGUGUGGGAUGGGCCCGCGGCCUAUCAGCUUGUUGGUGGGGUGAUGGCCUACCAAGGCGACGACGGGUAACCGGCCUGAGAGGGUGACCGGCCACACUGGGUCUGAGAUACGGCCCAGAAUCCUACGGGAGGCAGCAGUGGGGAAUAUUGCACAAUGGGCGCAAGCCUGAUGCAGCGACGCCGCGUGAGGGAUGACGGCCUUCGGGUUGUAAACCUCUUUCAGCACCGACGAAGCGCAAGUGACGGUAGGUGCAGAAGAAGGACCGGCCAACUACGUGCCAGCAGCCGCAGUAA
This 478-nucleotide ribosomal RNA is filed under the name uncultured bacterium. RNAcentral describes it as "partial 16S ribosomal RNA". It matches the Rfam family "Bacterial small subunit ribosomal RNA", at positions 28 to 523 of the family's 1533-position model. The record is from RNAcentral.